Molecule: ribosomal RNA, 303 nt
Filed under: Bacillus cereus
Lineage: Bacteria; Bacillati; Bacillota; Bacilli; Caryophanales; Bacillaceae
Also listed under: 23 other names
Description: partial 16S ribosomal RNA
Rfam family: Bacterial small subunit ribosomal RNA
Source: RNAcentral
UUAUUGGAGAGUUUGAUCCUGGCUCAGGAUGAACGCUGGCGGCGUGCCUAAUACAUGCAAGUCGAGCGAAUGGAUUAAGAGCUUGCUCUUAUGAAGUUAGCGGCGGACGGGUGAGUAACACGUGGGUAACCUGCCCAUAAGACUGGGAUAACUCCGGGAAACCGGGGCUAAUACCGGAUAACAUUUUGAACUGCAUGGUUCGAAAUUGAAAGGCGGCUUCGGCUGUCACUUAUGGAUGGACCCGCGUCGCAUUAGCUAGUUGGUGAGGUAACGGCUCACCAAGGCAACGAUGCGUAGCCGACC